UACGUAGGGUGCGAGCGUUGUCCGGAAUUAUUGGGCGUAAAGAGCUCGUAGGCGGUUUGUCGCGUCUGGUGUGAAAAUCCAGGGCUUAACCCUGGACCUGCAUCGGGUACGGGCAGACUAGAGUGCGGUAGGGGAGAUCGGAAUUCCUGGUGUAGCGGUGAAAUGCGCAGAUAUCAGGAGGACACCGGUGGCGAAGGCGGAUCUCUGGGCCGUAAGCUGACGCGUGGAGGAGCGAAAGCA
This 240-nucleotide ribosomal RNA is filed under the name uncultured bacterium. RNAcentral describes it as "partial 16S ribosomal RNA". It matches the Rfam family "Bacterial small subunit ribosomal RNA", at positions 524 to 761 of the family's 1533-position model. The record is from RNAcentral.